This 209-nucleotide long non-coding RNA is filed under the name Homo sapiens (human). Its description in RNAcentral is "HSALNT0095448". Lineage: Eukaryota; Metazoa; Chordata; Mammalia; Primates; Hominidae. The record is from RNAcentral.
CGUGGGGCUUAUAUUCCAGUGGGGAGGACCUCUCCACCCACUGUGUGAAGAACAAACAGUAAGGGCACAAGGGUAGAAGUGGGAAGACUAGUUAGGAAGCCAUUGCAGUAACACAGGGAAGAGAUGAUAAUAGCUCGGACCAGGGUAGAGUCUAUGGAAGUGGUAAGAAGUGGUUUGAUGCUGAAUGAGUUAUGAAGGUAGAGCUGACA